UACAGAGGUCUCAAGCGUUGUUCGGAUUCAUUGGGCGUAAAGGGCUUGUAGGUGGCCAACUAAGUCAGACGUGAAAUCCCUCGGCUUAACCGGGGAACUGCGUCUGAUACUGGAUGGCUUGAGAUUGGGAGAGGGAUGCGGAAUUCCAGGUGUAGCGGUGAAAUGCGUAGAUAUCUGGAGGAACACCGGUGGCGAAGGCGGCAUCCUGGACCAACACUGACACUGAAAAGCGAAAGCCAGGGGAGCAAACGGG
This 253-nucleotide ribosomal RNA is filed under the name uncultured bacterium. RNAcentral describes it as "partial 16S ribosomal RNA". It matches the Rfam family "Bacterial small subunit ribosomal RNA", at positions 524 to 776 of the family's 1533-position model. The record is from RNAcentral.